CCCGGUUGUGGUCCGCCAUGUUGAUGAGCCUGAAGCAAAGAGGCGAGUAUGUGAAGGCCAUCUUUCGUAGUUCUCCCUGGACAUUUUUGGUAUGACGGAAGAGGACCGGCUCUUCGAUUUCAUGAAGGGGCUCCUUCUCCUUUGCCAACUCAGGCAGGAUGAGGGUUGAGGAGAUAUGAUUUAGUAAAAGGAAGAAUCGUGGCAAUCACUGAACGGGAACUACUACUUUAGUUUAGAGUUUUGCAUCCAACGACCAUAAAACUAUUCAGUUAUCAAAGAAAAAGGGUUCGCCCCUGGGAAUCCAUGACACACUGUCCCCAACGGGCUAGGGAAC
RNAcentral lists this long non-coding RNA (334 nucleotides) under Nicotiana benthamiana. RNAcentral's name for it is "long non-coding RNA (NBEN_LNC039875)". Lineage: Eukaryota; Viridiplantae; Streptophyta; Magnoliopsida; Solanales; Solanaceae. The record is from RNAcentral.